RNAcentral lists this long non-coding RNA (1382 nucleotides) under Equus caballus (horse). Its description in RNAcentral is "lncRNA (ENSECAG00000057113.1)". Lineage: Eukaryota; Metazoa; Chordata; Mammalia; Perissodactyla; Equidae. The record is from RNAcentral.
CCAACUCUUCGGAGCCUCAGUUUAUUAUCAUCUGUAAAAUGGGGAUAACACCAACAGUCUUAGAGGGUUGUUGCAAUGACUAUGUGAAAAACAAACAAAUUAAUACAUGAAAUACCCGCACAUAUUCGUAAAGAUGGGCACACAAGGGGAAAAGCUGGAAACCAGCUAAAAGGGCCACUAAAGAGGGACCGUGAUGGAUCAGCACAGUGGACAUUGCAGAAUUGAACGAGGCAGGUCACGAUUCACCAGCAUGGAGAGAUUUUUAAAAUACAAUGGUACUUCUCGGGGCCUGAUAGCGCACUGAAUUGAAACUUGCAGCUGAAACAUUGCCAGAAAAAAGAAACACGGGUGCAAGCUCUGAGCCCCAGUCUUCCCGAAGUCACCCUCCCAGGCGAUGCCUUUGUGUCCAUUCACAGCUCAGAAGGUGUGCUGUAGGAGGAGAGGAGGAGAAGGUCAUGGGUGGGGAAAGAGCUGGGUGGAAAUUGCUUGAAACAAAAAUCCCCAGGGAUUGACGUCGGCAAGCCAUUCCCCAAUCUGGACAGCAGGUGGCGGAAGUGACCGAGAUUUCUUUGACCAUCACCAAAGGGUCCAGAAUCCCCUGGUUCUGCUGUAGAAUGUGCUCCUUCUCCAAGGGCACAGACUAGAGGGCUCCUUCACCGUCUCAAGCAGGUCCACAUGCUCUUCCCAGAGAAAGGCUGCAACGUGCUUUGAGAGAAGAGAACCGGGUCAGCCACCUCCUCCCAGAAAAGGGCGAGAUGAGGACAUUCUUUCUCCCCAAACACCAGCAGUGUUCCGGGCUGGCUUGUGAAGCAGGAGCUAUCAGAUGAGGCAUAAAGAGACGCUAUCAGCAGGACCCGGGCAGCCAGAGCCCAAGCCUGGCUCUCCCCCAGGGCUGGGGCUCCCAUGGCAUUCUUCUGCGAGACAUUCCUAACUCCUUUGUUAAAAGGAGUUAAAAGAAGAUGGAGACAUCCUCCUGGAUUUCUUCAACUUCCAAAUAUGUCUCCCAUUAAGUUCACAAGGAGAAAGGCGACUGUCUAGAUAAUAUCCUCUUGGCGCCCUCUAGAAGGCCACUUGUUUCUUAUGAUCAAUUUGUCCUCACAGCCAGGUUCAUUUUCUGGCUCCUGAAGGCCAGGGCGAUCAUCUCAAACUGCCCUACUUCUGGGUUGAGGUGACACGUCCGUGUUUUGGUCCCCAAUCCUAUCAGGCCUUUCUCUGUGGCCUCCCACCCCCACCCCAGAUGGGCUCUGAGCAGAGGAUGCUCCUUUGAGUCUGGGAGUUCAGGAUAAAGUGCUCCCUCCCUCCCAGGGUCUGCCCUGGGGCUCAGCUGCCACCAGGACCCAGAAUCUCCCUCUUCUUGUGCCAAAAUUCUGAAGCAAGCCAUG